GGGCACUUAGCUCAGCUGGUUAGAGCGCUGCGCUCACAUCGCAGAGGUCAGAGGUUCGAGUCCCCUAGUGCCCACCA
RNAcentral lists this transfer RNA (77 nucleotides) under Candidatus Omnitrophota bacterium. RNAcentral describes it as "tRNA-Val". It matches the Rfam family "tRNA". From Rfam's summary of the family: Transfer RNA (tRNA) molecules are approximately 80 nucleotides in length. The record is from RNAcentral. Lineage: Bacteria; Pseudomonadati; Candidatus Omnitrophota.